Molecule: ribosomal RNA, 465 nt
Filed under: Vreelandella stevensii
Lineage: Bacteria; Pseudomonadati; Pseudomonadota; Gammaproteobacteria; Oceanospirillales; Halomonadaceae
Description: partial 16S ribosomal RNA
Rfam family: Bacterial small subunit ribosomal RNA
Source: RNAcentral
CCUACGGGGGGCUGCAGUGGGGAAUAUUGGACAAUGGGCGAAAGCCUGAUCCAGCCAUGCCGCGUGUGUGAAGAAGGCCUUCGGGUUGUAAAGCACUUUCAGUGGGGAAGAAAGCCUUGGGGCUAAUACCCUCGAGGUAGGACAUCACCCACAGAAGAAGCACCGGCUAACUCCGUGCCAGCAGCCGCGGUAAUACGGAGGGUGCGAGCGUUAAUCGGAAUUACUGGGCGUAAAGCGCGCGUAGGCGGUCUGAUAAGCCGGUUGUGAAAGCCCCGGGCUCAACCUGGGAACGGCAUCCGGAACUGUCAGGCUAGAGUGCAGGAGAGGAAGGUAGAAUUCCCGGUGUAGCGGUGAAAUGCGUAGAGAUCGGGAGGAAUACCAGUGGCGAAGGCGGCCUUCUGGACUGACACUGACGCUGAGGUGCGAAAGCGUGGGUAGCAAACAGGAUUAGAUACCCUGGUAGUC